RNAcentral lists this ribosomal RNA (550 nucleotides) under uncultured bacterium. RNAcentral's name for it is "bacterial SSU rRNA". It matches the Rfam family "Bacterial small subunit ribosomal RNA", at positions 355 to 896 of the family's 1533-position model. The record is from RNAcentral.
UGGGGAAUCUUCCGCAAUGGACGAAAGUCUGACGGAGCAACGCCGCGUGAGUGAUGACGGCCUUCGGGUUGUAAAGCUCUGUUAAUCGGGACGAAAGGCCUUCUUGCGAAUAGUGAGAAGGAUUGACGGUACCGGAAUAGAAAGCCACGGCUAACUACGUGCCAGCAGCCGCGGUAAUACGUAGGUGGCAAGCGUUGUCCGGAAUUAUUGGGCGUAAAGCGCGCGCAGGCGGAUCAGUCAGUCUGUCUUAAAAGUUCGGGGCUUAACCCCGUGAUGGGAUGAAAACUGCUGAUCUAGAGUAUCGGAGAGGAAAGUGGAAUUCCUAGUGUAGCGGUGAAAUGCGUAGAUAUUAGGAAGAACACCAGUGGCGAAGGCGACUUUCUGGACGAAAACUGACGCUGAGGCGCGAAAGCCAGGGGAGCGAACGGGAUUAGAUACCCCGGUAGUCCUGGCCGUAAACGAUGGGUACUAGGUGUAGGAGGUAUCGACCCCUUCUGUGCCGGAGUUAACGCAAUAAGUACCCCGCCUGGGGAGUACGACCGCAAGGUUG